This 240-nucleotide ribosomal RNA is filed under the name uncultured Glomeromycotina. RNAcentral describes it as "partial small subunit ribosomal RNA". The stretch from base 48 to 240 matches the Rfam family "Eukaryotic small subunit ribosomal RNA", at positions 693 to 886 of the family's 1831-position model. Lineage: Eukaryota; Fungi; Glomeromycota. The record is from RNAcentral.
GAAUUUUUUUAUCGGUUGAAUCAACAGGUUCGUACUGAUUUUAAGAAUUUCUACCUUCUGGAGAACCUUAAUGUCAUUUAUUUGGUGUUUUGGGAAACCAGGACUGUUACCUUGAAAAAAUUAGAGUGUUUAAAGCAGGCUUAUGUCUGAAUAUAUUAGCAUGGAAUAAUGAAAUAGGACGGCAUGGUUCUAUUUUGUUGGUUUCUAGGAUCACCGUAAUGAUUAAUAGGGAUAGUUGGG